RNAcentral lists this ribosomal RNA (460 nucleotides) under uncultured bacterium. RNAcentral's name for it is "partial 16S ribosomal RNA". It matches the Rfam family "Bacterial small subunit ribosomal RNA", at positions 338 to 795 of the family's 1533-position model. The record is from RNAcentral.
CCUACGGGAGGCAGCAGUGAGGAAUAUUGGUCAAUGGGCGCGAGCCUGAACCAGCCAAGUCGCGUGAGGGAUUAAGGCCCUGCGGGUCGUAAACCUCUUUUGCCGGGGAGCAGUGGUCCGGACGUGUCCGGGCCGGGAGAGUACCCGGAGAAAAAGCAUCGGCUAACUCCGUGCCAGCAGCCGCGGUAAUACGGAGGAUGCGAGCGUUAUCCGGAUUUAUUGGGUUUAAAGGGUGCGUAGGCGGGCAUUUAAGCCGGCGGUCAAAUGUCGGGGCUUAACCCCGGCCUGCCGUCGGAACUGGGUGCCUUGAGUGGGCGAGAAGUAUGCGGAAUGCGUGGUGUAGCGGUGAAAUGCAUAGAUAUCACGCAGAACCCCGAUUGCGAAGGCAGCAUACCGGCGCCCUACUGACGCUGAGGCACGAAAGUGCGGGUAUCGAACAGGAUUAGAUACCCCGGUAGUC